This 471-nucleotide long non-coding RNA is filed under the name Chinchilla lanigera (long-tailed chinchilla). RNAcentral's name for it is "lncRNA (ENSCLAG00000025771.1)". The record is from RNAcentral. Lineage: Eukaryota; Metazoa; Chordata; Mammalia; Rodentia; Chinchillidae.
AUGUGUGGAAAGGGGAAAUUUCUGUCUGGAUGGAAUCCCAGCUUUAUGCUUCACAGCACAUCCUUGCGGCCUGUUUGCCUACUUGCUCUUCUAGUUGGUUCUCCUGCCUCUCACAGCAGUCUUCCUCUUCAUAGCAGAAGCUCUGAUGUGAGGAGACCCUCAAGGCCAGACCAGGUGGGAAAUCUUGGGACUUAAUGGCUUCUCCAUGCAUUUUCUCUUUUUUUUUUUUUUGUCUUUUUGAGACACGGUCUCCCUGCGCAAUUCAGGCAGGCCUUGAGCUUGCUUUGUAGCCCAGGCUGGUCUCGAACUUGCAACGAUCCUCCUGCCUCAGCCUCCCACAGGUAUGCACCACCAUGCCCAGCUCUAAUACAGUAUUUAAAGCAGGUCUGUCUUCAAAUCUUAUCUGUUGAAUGAAUAAAUGAAUGAAUGAAUGGCUAGACGUGUAGUUAAGAUCCCUAGAUAAAGCAGCAA